CCGCUGCAACACCAUAUAUCACAUGAUAUUUUGUGGAUAAUAUAAUAAUUAUAGGUAAGUUUCGACUGCAGUGACACCUAUGGUCUCCUACGAGAUUCGGGACUGAGCCCGGGCACGUGCCCAGGCUAGCUGGGUGGUAAAACCGCCCCUGACACAAGGUAAGCAUUUAAAGCCAAAUGUAGCAUAUUUGUAAAAUAGGCAAUAGCACUUGAUAGCAAUCAUGCUUUAUUUCAUCUAUGCAUAAGCAACACAAAUGUCAAAUCUAAUAAGGUCUAAUUCUGAUUCCUAUCAGUUUCUAGCUCAAAUGCUAACGAUUCUUCAUCUACGAAAAAAUCCUUUUAAGUUACUAAACUAAACUGGCACAAUUCGAAAUUAACAUUCUUCUAUUAGAGAAACAGAAAUUCCAAUAUCUAGAUCGUUUAGUUUUUACCUUCGUAGCAGUUGUGAUAGCUUCAUGCAGAGAACUCUGAGAGAAAUGAGACAAAAUUCUUCGCUGAGAAGAAAUUCCUUGAGAAAACGGAUGUUGCAACAUCGUAUGCAAAUUUGAUGCAUUGUUCAUAUUCCUAUAAAUUUUCCACAGAAAUCAGUAAUAUUCCUUAGCAUAUCACAGUUCACAUGAUUCAAACAUAGCGUUAUGCAGAAUAAGCUAAACUCGGAAAUUCCGAAGUUCAAAAUUCGAAUUUAAAAUUUGUUGUUUCAGAUUGAAGUGAAGUGAACCUGGAGAAAAUG
RNAcentral lists this long non-coding RNA (729 nucleotides) under Medicago truncatula (barrel medic). RNAcentral describes it as "long non-coding RNA (MTRU_LNC006022)". The record is from RNAcentral. Lineage: Eukaryota; Viridiplantae; Streptophyta; Magnoliopsida; Fabales; Fabaceae.